This 224-nucleotide long non-coding RNA is filed under the name Brassica napus (rape). RNAcentral describes it as "long non-coding RNA (BNAP_LNC024509)". Lineage: Eukaryota; Viridiplantae; Streptophyta; Magnoliopsida; Brassicales; Brassicaceae. The record is from RNAcentral.
CUUUUGAGUCUGGAUGAGUUUGGUUCUGAUGUAUAUGAUCCUAAAAAUAUCUAAAUAACCAAUGUACAUAUUAUGAAAAACAAAUAUUAAUCUAUAAAAAUAUAAGUAUAGUGUUAUUUUAUUAAUUUCAUUAGUUAUAUUAUUUUAACAAUACAUCACAUCAUUAAUUAUAUUUACCGUAACAAUACAUCAAAUCAUUAAUUAUAAUAUACCAUAAAAGUAAU